This 434-nucleotide ribosomal RNA is filed under the name uncultured bacterium. RNAcentral's name for it is "partial 16S ribosomal RNA". It matches the Rfam family "Bacterial small subunit ribosomal RNA", at positions 29 to 507 of the family's 1533-position model. The record is from RNAcentral.
AGCGAACGCUGGCGGCAGGCCUAACACAUGCAAGUCGAACGAACCUUUCGGGGUUAGUGGCGGACGGGUGAGUAACACGUGGGAACGUGCCUUUAGGUUCGGAAUAACUCAGGGAAACUUGUGCUAAUACCGAAUGUGCCCUUCGGGGGAAAGAUUAAUCGCCUUUAGAGCGGCCCGCGUCUGAUUAGCUAGUUGGUUGAGGUAAUGGCUCACCAAGGCGACGAUCAGUAGCUGGUCUGAGAGAAUGAUCAGCCACAUUGGGACUGAGACACGGCCCAAACUCCUACGGGAGGCGGCAGUGGGGAAUCUAGCGCAAUGGGCGAAAGCCUGACGCAGCCAUGCCGCGUGAAUGAUGAAGGUCUUAGGAUUGUAAAAUUCUUUCACCGGGGACGAUAAUGACGGUACCCGGAGAAGAAGCCCCGGCUAACUUCGUG